CAGCAACAUAGAAAUAGCCAUUGAUCAUUUCAAUCAGAAAAGAUCCUGCUAAAUGUGUCCCCUGACUUUGUGAAGAUGUGGUGACGUGGCCGUUUCAUCCAAGUGUUCUGGUCCAGCCCAGAGGUAGGUGGAGUUAGAUUUCUGGAGCCUCGUGGAGGCGUUCUGUGGCUACACAGUGACCCCUACUGCUCAUUACGGGAGUGAAGAAAGCCUAGAGCGAAAUCAGGAAAACAACGUGCUGAUUCCUGAGCCUCAGAAAACUGAGAAGUAGGCAGGGCUAUACCAUUUUCUCUGCACUUUAUGAGCAUAAUAAUUCUUCAAAGGACUGGCUGCAUCUACAAAUACCUACUAAAUGGAAACCGUCAAAUCAAAUGGGAGGCUCACAGCAGAUGCCAACUCCACCGAGCGGAUCUGGGCCAGGGUGAAGAAACGGAACUGCAGAGAGGUUAAGCCACCUGGGGCAGGAACUAGGAUGGAAAUCCAGGCAGUCUUGUUGCUGAGACCAUCUCCAUAAUCCUCUGCUAAACUUCUUCCUACCGAGAAAGACAUGUUCUGGGAGAGCAAGGGCUAAGAGGCUGCUCCUUGAUUCCCCCUGAGUGCCCGCCCUCCAGCCCUCACUCCAGUGAGGGGCCUGACCUGAAACAGCUGUCUGCCCUUGCCAGGCUCAGAGAGUCUCACACUGUCACCAGGCUGGCGUGUAGUGGCGCAAU
RNAcentral lists this long non-coding RNA (710 nucleotides) under Homo sapiens (human). RNAcentral's name for it is "HSALNT0372332". Lineage: Eukaryota; Metazoa; Chordata; Mammalia; Primates; Hominidae. The record is from RNAcentral.